RNAcentral lists this ribosomal RNA (60 nucleotides) under Cunninghamella elegans. RNAcentral describes it as "partial 28S ribosomal RNA". Lineage: Eukaryota; Fungi; Mucoromycota; Mucoromycetes; Mucorales; Cunninghamellaceae. The record is from RNAcentral.
CUUGGCCUGAAACCAGAUGGGACCUACCCACUGAACUUAAGCAUAUCAAUAAGCGGAGGA